RNAcentral lists this ribosomal RNA (474 nucleotides) under uncultured organism. RNAcentral describes it as "partial 16S ribosomal RNA". It matches the Rfam family "Bacterial small subunit ribosomal RNA", at positions 335 to 800 of the family's 1533-position model. The record is from RNAcentral.
ACUCCUGCGGGAGGCAGCAGUGGGGAAUUUUGGACAAUGGGCGAAAGCCUGAUCCAGCAAUGCCGCGUGAGUGAAGAAGGCCUUCGGGUUGUAAAGCUCUUUUGUCAGGGAAGAAACGGUGAGAGCUAAUAUCUUUUGCUAAUGACGGUACCUGAAGAAUAAGCACCGGCUAACUACGUGCCAGCAGCCGCGGUAAUACGUAGGGUGCAAGCGUUAAUCGGAAUUACUGGGCGUAAAGCGUGCGCAGGCGGUUUUGUAAGUCUGAUGUGAAAUCCCCGGGCUCAACCUGGGAAUUGCAUUGGAGACUGCAAGGCUAGAAUCUGGCAGAGGGGGGUAGAAUCCCACGUGUAGCAGUGAAAUGCGUAGAUAUGUGGAGGAACACCGAUGGCGAAGGCAGCCCCCUGGGUCAAGAUUGACGCUCAUGCACGAAAGCGUGGGGAGCAAACAGGAUUAGAUACCCCAGUAGUCCCAUGA